AGCUUUGGUAACCUAGCUUUAUGAAGAAAACGUUGAAUCGUCAAUCAUUAAAACUGAAUCACCAAAGUU
Molecule: microRNA precursor, 69 nt
Filed under: Caenorhabditis brenneri
Lineage: Eukaryota; Metazoa; Nematoda; Chromadorea; Rhabditida; Rhabditidae
Description: pre miRNA CBN34316
Source: RNAcentral